Non-coding RNA from Pantherophis guttatus, 1740 nucleotides. NCBI's taxonomy places the organism in Eukaryota, Metazoa, Chordata, Lepidosauria, Squamata, Colubridae. The record is from RefSeq and is a predicted model, not a curated record.
GAAGGAAGGAAGGAAAGAAAAAAAAGAAAAAGAAAGACUCAAUAAACUUUCCUUAAGAUUUCCUGGAUUUUUCCCAGUAACUGAUGGUUAUCAAUAUUUUCCCCCCAGAAUGCAGGGAAAGUUAAGCCACAUAAGGACAUCAUUUGCCUCAUGAUGCCUUGUUAGAGUACACUGUGAUAGGGGAAAAACAUUAAAAAAAAAUCCAGUGUUGUGCACAAAUUUCCUUCAUUUGACCACCACAUUGUUAAAUUUUCAAACGACAUUUAUUUUGCUUUGUCUGAAUUCAGCAGACAAAAGUGGAGUGACAUUUUAGGUUCAGCUUUAUAAAUCCUGUGAGUUAUCUGGGAGAAGGAAAUCUGAAAUAUUUCCUUCUCUUAUAUUCUGAGUCCAUAUUUGCUCCUUCCAUCCAAAGUCAUAUUUGGUUAUGAUGGUUCCAAGACCAUUAUUCUUUACUGCCAAUUUAAAAUGUUUCCUAAUAUUUAUUUCUUUGAUUGCUACUUUUAAUUACCCACCAUAAUUUUCUCACAGAUUUAUUUCUUGAUAUUUUUCAAGCGGUUUUUGCAUUUUGAAAGUUUAUCUCUGCAUUGUUUUAAAGUAAAAAAAAAAGUUAAUUUUGAAACUUCUGAUGGAAAAAUAUAUGGUUGAAAACAAAACCAGAUGUUGCCUGCUUUAACAGCACUGAAUUCAGCUUGAUUUCUAAUGUUAGAAAGACUCUUUGAGAAUAUGCCAACAGAUGAAUUUGUAUCGGCAUAAAGUACAAAUACCUACUCAACAUGUUAUUGUCUUGUGGGAUAAAAAAAUAUUAUACAAAGCAAAAGAGUAGAAAGCAAGGAAAAGUACAAGAUAAGCCCAUAGUAAUCUAAUUCAUUGUAAUUUAUGAUAAUACAUUUACCAUAGGUCUCCAUACUUUUCAUGCAAACCAUACAUGAAUCCAUCAAAUCCAUAUAUACAUUCAUACAUUUCCUUUCAUUCUGUAAAGAUCUCAUAUUCUCUUUCUGAAAAAAGCCUGAUUCAGUCUUAAUUUACUCUCUGUGUAACCAAACCACAUCCAUCCUUCAUCCUGGAUCUCAUUUGUGGAUUCAAUCUGCAUUAAUUCAAACUCUAUUAAUUCUUCACCCCAUCUCUUCUUCCCUCUUAAAUAUCCCACCGCCACAGCAUUCAAUUUAUUGUUUAGUAAUUCCUCCCUCCAUAUUCAGCUCUAACAACAUGGGCAGAAGCGUAUUCUUAAGCAUGCAGAUGUUGGUUUCUUUUGACAAUCAUUCCUGACAAGAGACCACACACAAUCUGCUACCUUUCUGCCGGCAUUUGCACACUUUAAAAUUGUCUAUCCAUUUUUCCAUCUAUCAAAGUGGAAUAAUAUAAUUUCAGUUUUAAUUUUUUGGUUGAAGAAUAUUUGUCAGCCAAUGCUGAAGAAAAAAUCUCUUAUGGGCACACAGGGAUUCAUGACUGAUGGUGUGUUUGACUCCUCCCUCAGGCUCAGCCUAGUCAUCCUACAAUAAUAACCUUGUAAUGGAAUUUCAUUGGAGUUUAUGGAAUUUCAUUGUUAGAAUUCUUUGCAAUGUGAGUUUUGAAAUGUUCAAUUUACUAGAUGUAUGGUACAUUGGUUUUGGGAAUCUCUGUUCAAAUACCCUCUCAAUUUCUAUUUGCUUGCUCAGCAUCUCUUAGAUCUAUGCUCAUCAUGAAAUGAGACAGUUUCCCUGAACGUUUUUCAUCCAGCUGUUAAUUAAAUUUCUGCUGUGA